UCCGCGGGCAAUUACCGAGCAUUAACAUGCACGGCGGCGAGGCACCGCGGGUGCGGUCGACCCGCGCAACCAGCGCUGCUCCGCCUCCACGCCACAGCCGCUCCCUCCACCCCUCUCAGCGCCCACCUUAGUCCCACUUCAGCUCCUCACCACCUCCCUCCGCUCGCCUCAGCCCUCCCGCAGCCUUCCCCAGCCUGCCACCUUCGCGGCUCCUCUCUGCAGGCAGAUGACACCCCAGAGAGCCGCUCUCAUUCCAGUCCGCGUCCAGCAGCAAGGCUGGGCAGAGAGGCAGAGUCGCACACGCUUGUACCGCAGGGGAACCAUCGUCUGACGCCGAGAGCCACAAAACCAGCCGUGACAGAGCAGCCCCACAUGCUGCUCCUGUGAUGAGACACAGAUUCCGUUCAGCUGGCACACACAUCUAUGCCUGGGUCAUUAUUCAAGCCCUUACACUCUCCCUGUUUCAUACGAGGUCUGUACUGAGAACGUGUGUUACAGAAUGCAGCUCAGAAAGGAAUGGGGGAAACCAAUUCCAGCUUCAUUAGCAUCUGUGCCUAGUGAGCAGCAUUUCCUAGCAUCCUGCAGCUUGUACAAGCAGUUUAAAAUGCUACCAUGUUGAUCCUGGUAGGAGCUUUUUCACUGUCUUUGACUUCUUGAUGCACAGUCUGUGUGGUAGACAAUAAAAACCUUAUUCUGCAAAGGAGAACAUUGCUUUUUUCCCCCCUGCAACCAGGACCCACAAGCACAUGUGUGCUUCGCUCUUACGUGAAGUCCACAGCAGCCCUUUUCUCCACGUCCACAUCCAACAAGUGUCCUGAAAACAAGAGUAGAAUGUGGAAUUCCUGAACUGGAUCAGAAGGAACCUGCUAAGUCCUUGGUUAAGCCACUGACAUAGGAAUUGAAAGGAUUUAUCUGCCCCACUGCCCCCUGUAUCUCUUGCCCACACAGACCAAGUCUUCUGGGACAAGAAUUUUCCCUUGCUGACAACCACAAUAAAGUCCUCACCUUGCUAACUGCCUCUAGGAAAUCCUGCCCUGCAGACCAUAGCAAAGGGGCUUAAAUUGAGCUCACCUGUCUCUUCUUUUUUCCCCCUGGAUAAAGAAAAACACUGCUGCAGUUCACAGGCUGCUGGUAUGAAAAGCUUUUAUUACCUUUUUAGCUAGCUUGCCCCAAUUUCAUUCAGCUAUCACAACACUGCGUUUAGAUGAUGAGACUGAAUUACUCAAUUUGAUGUGUUUAACACAUAAUAGAAACCUGUUUUAAGAAAAUGCAGUGUUGGGAUUUGAAGAGCUGAAAUGUUAGGUGUUUCAGAUAAAAGAG
This is a long non-coding RNA of Pogoniulus pusillus (Red-fronted tinkerbird), 1320 nucleotides long. RefSeq lists it as uncharacterized. The transcript has 3 exons. The record is from RefSeq and is a predicted model, not a curated record. Lineage: Eukaryota; Metazoa; Chordata; Aves; Piciformes; Lybiidae.